Molecule: unclassified non-coding RNA, 266 nt
Filed under: uncultured Chaetothyriales
Lineage: Eukaryota; Fungi; Ascomycota; Eurotiomycetes; Chaetothyriales
Description: sequence contains 5.8S rRNA gene, ITS2, 28S rRNA gene
Rfam family: 5.8S ribosomal RNA (bases 1-52)
Source: RNAcentral
AACGCAUAUUGCGCCCUUUGGUAUUCCGAAGGGCAUGCCUGUUCGAGCGUCAUUAUCACCCCUCAAGCUCCGGCUUGGUGUUGGGCCUUUUUUCGUUGUCCACUGCCGACAACGGGCCUCAAAGACAGUGGCGGCGUCCCAGAGGGAACCGGUACGAGGAGCUUCUAGUUAAGCAUGUACGCGGGAAGACUCUGGCAGACGACGGUCUUUCACUAAAUUUUCCAAGUGUUGACCUCGGAUCAGGUAGGAAUACCCGCUGAACUUAA